This is a long non-coding RNA of Peromyscus californicus insignis, 4848 nucleotides long. RefSeq lists it as uncharacterized. The transcript has 4 exons. Lineage: Eukaryota; Metazoa; Chordata; Mammalia; Rodentia; Cricetidae. The record is from RefSeq and is a predicted model, not a curated record.
UUUUGGUGGGUGAAAAUGGAUGGGUGCAGAAAAACCUCCACCUGGAGCUUGUUUUAAAUGUGACAAAACUGCCUUUCACUUCAGCUGCUGUCAAGUCUCUGUCCAGACUGUGGACAUCCAGGACAUUGGGGAAUUAAUUGUCCUGCUUUGCCUAGACUUCUGUCCCCUUUCUAUGCUAUUACUACCCUGGACGUUCGGAGGUUCAGAGUUUCAGCACUGAUAAAUGGAGUUCUGAUGAACCGACAAAGCACCGACUACUUACUAUUCAAUCACAAGUUCAAGAUUUUAAAUUUCCUCUGCUUGUCUUCUAAGUAUAGACUUAAAGGUGUGUCUCAUCUGGCUAAAACCAGGCUCUCUAGACAUAGGAAAAAUAUUCAUGCCUUUUAACCCAAAACUGUAGCUUUUGCAAUGACACCAAGGUGUAAAUCUGUUCCAGCUGUUUGUCAGACACCUGCAUGUUCCUGGGGAAAGAGUUCUGCUACUGUGUCAACAAAUCUGGCCUGGUGGAAACUAUUAUUGGGUCAUUCUACCAAUUGUCUGAAGAACUUUGCCAAUACAACCAGGGCACACCUCCAUUCCACUCUUUCUGGCAGUCUCCACUCUUCCCGUGGCUAGCCCCUUUCACAGGACAAGUGGUAAUAAUCUGGGUUUUUCUCCUAGCAACUUGCCUUCUUGCUUCUUCCGGGAACAGAUUUAUGAGGUCUCUAGGGAGACAGUUAACUGAAUGCUUCUUCACCCAUACCUCCCACUGAGCACAAACCCAACUCCCAACUCCCCUCUCCCCACAUCGUCCCAUGCCAACAGGAAGUAGCCAAAUUUGAACAGGCGCUCAUAUACCCACAGAGGUUGGGAUGUUUGGUUGGAACCUCCAGCUCACCCCUGCAUGAUCCAGAAAGUUCCAUUUCUGCCUCUCUCCCUCCAAACCCUGCCCUCCCAGAGAAUCUCCAACAAAGAAAAGGUGCCAGUUCUGCAUUCCUGGUGACUAGGGCAACUUCCUCCCCUGUUGCCGCCAGCUGCCCAAGUCCCCAUCUAAGCAUUCUAGCUUUUGACCAGACUUGGGCACAAACCCAGCUUGUGGUGGACACAUUAUCACCCCUCACCUGCAGGCUUUAUAAUCUCUGUGCUUUAGCUUGGCGUGUGGCUUCUUGAGCCUCUCCAGUCUCUCUGGGACUGGAGAACCUGCCCAGGAGUUGCCUUGCUCAAAUAAACCUGUUGUUACACUUUUUCAAUUCAGCUUGAUCUGACUUACUGUGUGAGUGAAGAAACCUGUUAUCAGGGGACAGAAAACCUAUCCCUCAUCUCUUUUGUGAAAGUUCUUGAAUGACCAUGGGACUGAAAGUUUGUCAGCAGUUCCUCCCUCCCCUCCCCCCCUUUAUCUCACCCACCUCCGGGGCCUUAUGUAUACCAACCUAGCCUCAAACCUUCAACCUUCUUAUUUCCAUCUCCUGAGUUCUGGAAUGAUAUGUGUGUCCCACAACACUAGGCUAGCCAUAAUGCUAGCUUCUUCGCAGCUUUAUCAACACAUUAUUAUCAAUCUUAAAUUAUGGCUGUCCUAGUGAAUGUGAUGGUCAUGAUUUGCAUUUCCUUGAUAGCUAACACACAAUCCUUAAGAAAAAUUAUAUAAGGGAAAGAAACAGGGGGAAACACUACAUAUUUUAAACAACAACACAAGUCCCUCAGUCAAAUCUUAUUUAGAACUAACUUACACGCUUUUGUCCAGAGUAAAUGUCCGCAUCGGAAGGGAACGCUUGUAGAUCACUUCCACAAAAUUCACACUUGAGUGCUAGCUCUUCUUCGUCCUUCAGAGAGAGGGAGAGAAAGAGAAAGAAAGUGAAGAAGUGCCCCAAGGCCCAGCGGCUCAGGUGGAACUGGUUGUGGACAGUGGACGUCUAGUAGGACAACAAAGGCAAUGGGGACGUGCUAAUUUAUCUGAGAACACUUGCCACAGAAGUACUGGGUGGGGAACUUUUAAGGGUCUGAGAUCUUCUAGCUGAUGGGAUCAAGCCAGCAAGAUCUGUAUAGUCCAGCGCGUGACAUCACUUCCACUCAAGGGCCAGAAGGGAGUAAGGAGCCCGAGAUGCAUUUUGAAUGCUGCUUUCUGGUACAAUUCAGAAGAGCAGAGCUAAGAGCCUUGGAGCUGUGCAAGUGUAAGAAGAAAGCUGCAGAAAUGAUGACCGCAGAGUCCUCUGGAAGGGACAGAAAUACAUAGUUUGUAGCUACAGGUAGUUACAAAAUAGUCUUGGGUGUUUGGAUAUGUUGACUUUUCCUGUAAGUACUAGUAAGAAGAAGCCUUGCAUUACUGCAUAGGUGUUCGCUACUUUUAUGUCUCUGAGAAAGAAUACCUGAUAGAAACCAUUUAAACAAAGGAAUUUCUUCUGGCUCCUGAUUUGAGGACAGUCUAUCAUGGCAGUGAGGGUGUGGUGGUAGUAGUAGCUUGUGGCUGUGGCCACAGGAAUGUGAAGUGGCUGGUACAUCACCUUAGCAGUUAGGAAGCAGAGUCUAGGGCCUGAAUGGGACAGGCUAUAUGACCCACAAGACCCACUCCUAGUGACCCAUUUCCUCCAACAAGGCUCCACCUCAUAAAGAUUCCACAACUUUCUGAAACAGCAUCUCUAGCAGGGAGAGCUCACAUUCAUCAUGUACAAUUGCCAACUUUUAUAAUCAACCAGAAUCUGUCCUUCAGGGGAACCCCUGCUUGGAGUUCUGAACUCCACUGGGCAAUCCAGGAAGGCAAGAAGCAGGUGACUGGAAACAGACACAACUGAAGUCAGGGUGGCUUCGGUAAUUCCCUGAGGGGCUCCUGAAGUAAGGACAUGUUGGUAAUUUGUUACACCUAUGAUUGUAGGGGAUCCUGGCCAGGUAAGUAGCUGAGUCUCAGAAAAAUCCUCUAGGAAGAGAUUCAGAUAUGCCUUUCAGAUCAUAAACAGCAUUAGCACAUCUGUAUUUGCCAUCUAAACUAUCCUCUGAGACAGGCCAAGUACCCAGUUAUAAGGGUGACUGAGCUAGUUAGUGCAGUUAGGGAUUGGCCACUUGAGUAAAGACAUUUAGAUCUACAGGCAGUGGAGAGAUGCAGGGGAAAAGUCCAGGGCCAUUAUGAAAUGAUGACUCUUUCUAUACAAGAGAUUUGGUAGUACAUCCCUUGGCUCAUGAUUCUUUUGUUCCUUCGCCUGAGAAUGAAGCAAAAUGGAGAUUCUCUGAAAGACCACGAGUGGCACUGGAAUCUUCACAUGAGGAAGGUAUGGAGAGGACAGUUAGAUACACCAGCUGCUACCACUCCUGAAUACAACUAAUGUUAAUGCUACCUGCAAUGUCUGCCUCCAGAGCCAGAGGAUCCAGCCUUGCCCAGGUCGGGACAUCUCCCUGGAGAAGAAGCCACAAGGCCUUUCUUAUGGUCAAGCCCAUCUCUGCAAGUCAGAGGAAGACCAUAACCCCACUAGCUCAAGAGACUUCUCUGGAUAUAAGCCCUUCCGACUCAGAGGAAGGAAAGUGCUCUGUUCAGACAGGGUUUCACUGUAUAUCUUUGGCUGGCCUUGAACUCACAAAGAUCUGCUUGCCUCUGCUUUGUGAGUACUGAGAUUAAAGUAACAUUGAACAUGACCUGUGAAUCAAAUCAAUUCUUUGGAACGUCUUCCUUCCUGAAAGUCCUCAGAUUUGAGAUCCGUGAGGGACACUGAGGAGGACUGACCUUUUGGUUCUGAAGGGACUGUGUCCUGGAAUAGGCAAAGAACUCCUCUGUGGGGGCCACUUGGGCAAGCCUCUGAGGCAAUGCUGUUUAUCUAACCUUCCUGAGAGACGAGCUGCAGGGACUACCAGGGAAGCCACGUGAGAGGGAAAUCCCUCGACAUUUACUGUGUCUCCGUCAUCGUCACAGUGCAGAAGCUAACGAAAAUGAAUCCAUCCUUCAUUGAAGUGGCCUUGCCUUCCUGAAUCUUCCACCAAAGACUGUUUAUGGAAUCUUUAGGUGGAAGAUAAAUGAGGAUGGCCAGAGAAUUCACUUUGGGCAGAGCAUAGUUGGUAGGAAUGAAUCCUGCUUUGCCUGGGAUGUUUUGAUUACCUUCACAAAGGCUAAUCCAAGCCUUAGUAUUUCCUUUUUCACGGGCAAGGGAAUGGGGGCCCAUGGAGACAAAGGGACGGCUACAAAAGUCAGGGAGGUCCCAAACUUGUCAUUUCCAUCUGUGUCUUAUUGUUCCAUUGCUGUGAAGAGACACCAUGACCAAGGCAACUCUUACAAAAGAAAUCAUCUAACUGGGGGCUGGCUUACAGUUUUAGAGGGUUACUCCAUGAUCAUCAUGGUGGGAAGUUGGCACACAUGGCACUGGAGCAGUGGCUGAGAGCUUUACAUCCUGAUCUUCAGGGAGAGAGAGAGGGAGAGAAGGAGAGAGGGAGGGAGGAAGAUGGAGAGAGAGAGAGAGAGAGAGAGAGAGAGAGAGAGAGAGAGAGAGAUUGGGCCUGACAAGGACUUCUGAAAUCUCAAAGCCCAUCUCCACUGACACACUUCCUUCAACAAAGCCACAUCUAGGCCACACCUCCUAAUCCUAAUCUUUCUCGAACAGUUCCACUUCCUGAUGACUAAGCAUUCAAAUAUGUGAGCCUAUGGAGGGGGGGGGGGGGCAUUCUCACUCAAACCACCACAAUCAGCCUUCUGAAGUUUACACCAUUUCAAUGAGAAUAGCAGUAAGGCAUUGAAAAUAGAAGUUGAGGCCGGGCGGUGGUGGCGCACGCCUUUAAUCCCAGCACUCGGGAGGCAGAGCCAGGCGGAUCUCUGUGAGUUCGAGGCCAGCCUGGUCUCCAAAGCGAGUUCCAGGAAAGGCGCAAAGCUACACAGAGAAACCCUGUCUCGAAAAACCA